AAUUAUAAAAAAAAAAAAAGAGAUUUUAUUAAAUAACUAAAUCUAAGCUAGGGCUAGACACUAUACAGUUCGGUUCGGUUUAAACAAAAAACCGAAUCGAGCUGAAACCGAUCAGUUCUCUCAAAUUAGAACCGAAGGCAACCCGAAAUUUAAAACCAAAUCGAACCGAACCAAAAUUUUUCGGUCCGAUUUGGUUCUGGUUCUGAAUUUCAGUUUAGUUCGGGUUAGCUUCGUUCUUUUCAAUUUCAAGUCUACAAUUUUCUCAUGUAUUAAACUUAUUAACUUUACAUACAAUGUAAUAAAACUCAGCAAAAUAAUAAAGGCCCAAUACAUUAUAAAUUGACAAAAACAAAAAAAAAAUAUAAUAUUUUUUCAUUGUCAAAAUAAUAAUAACAAACCAAAAAUCUCGUGGGUUUGAAAAUGACUAUUUUCCCACAACCAAACAAGGCCAGCACACGGGGUUUCAAUAUCAACAUUUUUAAUAACCAACAAUGCCUCCAAAAUCACCAUUUUUCCAACAACCAAACAAGGCCAACCCAUGCGUGUCAAAGCAGGCAUUCGGCAACAGCAACAAAUACAAUACACCAAAAGCUAGCGAGUCUGCAAUAGGAACAAAUACUCCAAAAAAAAGCUAAAAAAUCAAAAUUUAAUAUUGUUACUGUACUUAGACAAAGAAAUGCAUCUAGAUCUAUAAUAUUUGUUGUGAGAGAAACAAGAAGAAACUAAGAAUCUUUGUGUGGUGGCCGACGGCCGGCAAUGAUUCUGGCUGAAGGACGCUGUUCUAGGGUUGUGACGAACGGCCGGUGGCUAACAGGUGGUUGUGCUAAAGGGUUGACGAUGGUUGUGUGGUGCAUGAGGAGCGGCUGCCAUAUGCGUGUAUGGUGUCAAAGAGGAGUGGUUUCUGGCUGUAGAAAUAGGAUGUGUUGAUCCGAGUGUGAGGGAUGGUGUGCUACUGCUGUGUUUGAGAGAUAAGUGUGUGAGAUUUAGGUUUCCGUUUACUAUAUCUAUGUGUGUGUGUGUGUAUUAAAAUAUUUUUUAUUUUUAAAUGAAAGAACCUAAUGGUUUUUCGGUUCGGUUCAGUUUUGAGCCGAACCAAAUACAAACCAACUGAUUCUUUAAUUUCCAAACCAUUCGAAUUUUACCUUUAAAACUGAAUCGAACUGGAUUGAACAAUAUCGGUUCGGUUCGGUUCGAUAAAAGCCAAACCAAAUGUCCACCCCUACUCUAAACUAUGAAAACAAUAAACAAGAUUAAAAUAAUAAAGGAAAAUGGAAUGUAAUAAUAAAUGUAAGAUUAAAAUUUUCAGUGAGGCAUGAAGUGCACUAUGAUAUUAUUUUAAGUGGUUUUUCUAGUGGUGUUUAGAAGAUUUUCAAGGUUAAAUAGCUAAGCUAGCCUUAGCAUAAGGAUUAAAUCAUAUAUUUGAUAUAAUAUCAUUUUUUUUCUGUUUCAUUAAUCUUAUUUUAGGUUACAGUGUAUAUAAAAUUUAAAUGUAAUUUCCUGGAGGAUGCUCAGACAUCAAUUUUGUCAGCUAUUUAAUAAACUAAAUAAGCACAUCUUUUUC
This 1561-nucleotide long non-coding RNA is filed under the name Citrus sinensis (sweet orange). RNAcentral's name for it is "long non-coding RNA (CSIN_LNC000417)". Lineage: Eukaryota; Viridiplantae; Streptophyta; Magnoliopsida; Sapindales; Rutaceae. The record is from RNAcentral.